This 357-nucleotide ribosomal RNA is filed under the name uncultured bacterium. RNAcentral's name for it is "bacterial SSU rRNA". It matches the Rfam family "Bacterial small subunit ribosomal RNA", at positions 29 to 412 of the family's 1533-position model. The record is from RNAcentral.
AACGAACGCUGGCGGCAGGCCUAACACAUGCAAGUCGAGCGAGGUAGCAAUGCCUAGCGGCGGACGGGUGAGUAACGCGUGGGAACGUGCCCUUUGCUUCGGAAUAGCCCCGGGAAACUGGGAGUAAUACCGAAUGUGCCCUUCGGGGGAAAGAUUUAUCGGCAAAGGAUCGGCCCGCGUUGGAUUAGGUAGUUGGUGGGGUAAUGGCCUACCAAGCCGACGAUCCAUAGCUGGUUUGAGAGGAUGAUCAGCCACACUGGGACUGAGACACGGCCCAGACUCCUACGGGAGGCAGCAGGUGGGGAAUCUUAGACAAUGGGCGCAAGCCUGAUCUAGCCAUGCCGCGUGAUCGAUGAA